RNAcentral lists this ribosomal RNA (492 nucleotides) under uncultured bacterium. RNAcentral describes it as "partial 16S ribosomal RNA". It matches the Rfam family "Bacterial small subunit ribosomal RNA", at positions 29 to 507 of the family's 1533-position model. The record is from RNAcentral.
AGUGAACGCUGGCGGUAGGCCUAACACAUGCAAUUCGAACGGCAGCACAGUAAGAGCUUGCUCUUACGGGUGGCGAGUGGCGGACGGGUGAGGAAUACAUCGGAAUCUACUUUUUCGUGGGGGAUAACGUAGGGAAACUUACGCUAAUACCGCAUACGACCUACGGGUGAAAGCAGGGGAUCUUCGGACCUUGCGCGAUUGAAUGAGCCGAUGUCGGAUUAGCUAGUUGGCGGGGUAAAGGCCCACCAAGGCGACGAUCCGUAGCUGGUCUGAGAGGAUGAUCAGCCACACUGGAACUGAGACACGGUCCAGACUCCUACGGGAGGCAGCAGUGGGGAAUAUUGGACAAUGGGCGCAAGCCUGAUCCAGCCAUACCGCGUGGGUGAAGAAGGCAUUCGGGUUGUAAAGCCCUUUUGUUGGGAAAGAAAAGCAGCAGGUUAAUACCCCGCUGUUCUGACGGUACCCAAAGAAUAAGCACCGGCUAACUUCGUG